Long non-coding RNA from Sander lucioperca (pikeperch), 134 nucleotides. RefSeq lists it as uncharacterized. The record is from RefSeq and is a predicted model, not a curated record. NCBI's taxonomy places the organism in Eukaryota, Metazoa, Chordata, Actinopteri, Perciformes, Percidae. The transcript is spliced from 3 exons.
UACAUGGAGUCUGGUGGAAAUAUGCUGGCUCUAUACACGCUAAAAGUACUGAUUAUUUACAUGGAGUCUGGUGGGGUUGGUGAUGGAGAUUUCAGGGAUGUACAUACAAAAUUACAGUAAUACUGGUCAACAUC